GUGUGUAUCUGUUGUAUCCUUGGGAGUUUGUCUAAAUGAGUUUUGUUUCUAUGUAUCUGUUAUCAAUCGCGAGCUUUGGGUAGCAAUGUCUGGGGGAAUAAUCACCUGUGGAUUGGGCCUAUGCAUUUAUAUAGAAAACGCAAUUAUCUUCUUUUGGUUUUAACCCACUUCCUAUUAAACACGUCUCGAAGCAUAAUCAGACUCGACCCGGGGAGCAAUGGGCUUUGGCCCACUGGCUCACAUGCUUCCACUUUAUUCGGGAUCUUAGCAGAAACCAAGUAAUAUGAUGGGAGGAGUCAGAAAGGAAACAAAUGGACCUCCUUGGACAUUUAGAAAUUUUCUUUUAUUGUCCAUAGAAGGCCGGUGGAUAAAGAAGAGAAAUUGCCGAGAACCAUGACUGCCGGAGGUUUUUUAACCUUUAAAUGUUGAAUGAGAUGGAGGGAAUAAAAUUGACUAUUUGUCUCUAUUUAGUUGUUGUUUACCAGUUUGGCAAUACUUGAAGAAUAAGAGAA
Molecule: long non-coding RNA, 512 nt
Filed under: Theobroma cacao (cacao)
Lineage: Eukaryota; Viridiplantae; Streptophyta; Magnoliopsida; Malvales; Malvaceae
Description: long non-coding RNA (TCAC_LNC002943)
Source: RNAcentral